UUCUAUGAAUUUUUCCAGAAGGAUGGGCAUAGACUGGAUCACAGAGCGUCCCAUGCUUAAAACCAUUAUGAAUACUGAAGCUUCCCCUAAAAAGUGGAUACGGAAAAGUUAUUCAGCAUAUCGGUUGCAGUAGUGCGAAAAUGAGAAAUCUUAUGAUUCCUCACUGCACAAUAGCAGUAACUGUUGUAAAAUUGGGAGAUUCUUUGCAGUGAUUUAUACUUACACGAACACAUUUUACACACUGAUAAUCUAAAGGAAGUCAAAAUCUAAGAAUAAUGUUAUGUAGAACCAAUGGUGCUAUAAAACUAGCCUAGGUGGCAGAUAAGUAGCAUAUUAAAUGUGACUUAUUUCUCUGCGUUUAAAGUGAUCUAUCAAUUCAUGAGACUGGUGCUAAAUAGCAUUACUCAAAAUUAAUAAAUGUCUUCACCUGCAAUGAGAAGACCAUAUAGUUGGGGAAAACCACCAAGUCAGAGGCUGCAUAUUGGUCUAUCCAAAUUGGAAAUUGAGGGACGGUAUAAAAAAUAGUUUUGCACUAUUUAGGCCAGGGAGAAA
RNAcentral lists this long non-coding RNA (552 nucleotides) under Olea europaea (common olive). Its description in RNAcentral is "long non-coding RNA (OEUR_LNC007285)". Lineage: Eukaryota; Viridiplantae; Streptophyta; Magnoliopsida; Lamiales; Oleaceae. The record is from RNAcentral.